GCAAGUUUGUAUUUUGUGGAUUCUCUCUUUCAAGCAAAAGAACUCUCUUACUCAAGAAGUAAAAGAGAUUUCAAUCGACGGUCAAAAGAUUGUUCCCUCUCAAGACUGCAACAGCGUUUAAUUUGUGGAAAUUAAGGCAGUACUUGUCGAACACAACCACGGAAACCCCUGGUGCUGCCCCGACAACAAGCUGUGGCUAUGCUGUGCCAGGCAUACUGGGUACGGUGGCUAUGGCACUUGGGCUAAAGGCGCGAAAAUUGUUGAGAUAAAUCAACAACCUUUCUCUAUCAAGUAUUGGACAAGGAUGGAGAAUCACGAUAUAUACAGCGUAGUUGAUUUGAGUUCUUAAAAGCUUUCGAUGUAUGGUGAAAAAUAAAUGCUAGAUGAUAAAGGAUAGCGUUAUCAUGGGCAGAUGUAUCUAGCUCUUAUAAAGAAUGCAGUAUUAUAAAUCA
This is a long non-coding RNA of Eucalyptus grandis, 452 nucleotides long. RefSeq lists it as uncharacterized. NCBI's taxonomy places the organism in Eukaryota, Viridiplantae, Streptophyta, Magnoliopsida, Myrtales, Myrtaceae. The record is from RefSeq and is a predicted model, not a curated record. The transcript has 2 exons.